GAUGAACGCUGGCGGCGUGCCUAAUACAUGCAAGUCGAGCGAACGGACGAGGAGCUUGCUUCUCUGAUGUUAGCGGCGGACGGGUGAUUCACACGUGGAUAACCUACCUAUAAGACUGGGAUAACUUCGGGAAACCGGAGCUAAUACCGGAUAAUAUUUUGAACCGCAUGGUUCAAAAGUGAAAGACGGUCUUGCUGUCACUUAUAGAUGGAUCCGCGCUGCAUUAGCUAGUUGGUAAGGUAACGGCUUACCAAGGCAACGAUGCAUAGCCGACCUGAGAGGGUGAUCGGCCACACUGGAAGUGAGACACGGUCCAGACACCGACGGGAGGAAGCAGUAGGGAAUCUUCCGCAAUGGGCGAAAGCCUGACGGUGCAACGCGGGGUGAGUGAUGAAGGUCUUCGGAUCGUAAAACUCUGUUAUUAGGGAAGAACAUAUGUGUAAGUAACUGUGCACAUCUUGACGGUACCUAAUCAGAAAGCCACGGCUAACUACGUG
RNAcentral lists this ribosomal RNA (497 nucleotides) under uncultured bacterium. RNAcentral's name for it is "partial 16S ribosomal RNA". It matches the Rfam family "Bacterial small subunit ribosomal RNA", at positions 28 to 507 of the family's 1533-position model. The record is from RNAcentral.